AAUUUUGACACAAGGUCUAUGACCACAAAAGGAAGGUUGGGAUUGAUUUUGGGAGUUUUGGUUCCAACAGUUUAGGAAUUAAGGGCCAAAAAAAGGGCCCAAAUAAGCAUUAUUCUUGGUUUUCGCACAAUAACUUUAGUAUAAGUAAAUAGAAAUCAAUGAAAUUUUAACACAAGGUUUAUGACCACAAAAGGAAGGUUGGGAUUGAUUUUUGGAGUUCAGGUCACAACAGUUUAUGAAUUAGGGGCCAAAAAGGGACCCAAAUAAGCAUUAUUUUUGGUUUUUGCAC
RNAcentral lists this long non-coding RNA (289 nucleotides) under Mytilus galloprovincialis (Mediterranean mussel). The record is from RNAcentral. Lineage: Eukaryota; Metazoa; Mollusca; Bivalvia; Mytilida; Mytilidae.